AGAGUUUGAUCAUGGCUCAGGACGAACGCUGGCGGCGUGCCUAAUACAUGCAAGUCGAGCGGAUGACGAGGAGCUUGCUCCUCUGAUUCAGCGGCGGACGGGUGAGUAACACGUGGGCAACCUGCCUGUAAGACUGGGAUAACUCCGGGAAACCGGGGCUAAUACCGGAUAGGUGAUGUCUUCGCAUGAAGAGAUCAGGAAAGAUGGCUUCGGCUAUCACUUACAGAUGGGCCCGCGGCGCAUUAGCUAGUUGGUGAGGUAACGGCUCACCAAGGCGACGAUGCGUAGCCGACCUGAGAGGGUGAUCGGCCACACUGGGACUGAGACACGGCCCAGACUCCUACGGGAGGCAGCAGUAGGGAAUCUUCCGCAAUGGACGAAAGUCUGACGGAGCAACGCCGCGUGAGCGAAGAAGGUCUUCGGAUCGUAAAGCUCUGUUGUUAGGGAAGAACAAGUACCGUUCGAAUAGGGCGGUACCGUGACGGUACCUAACCAGAAAGCCACGGCUAACUACGUGCCAGCAGCCGCGGUAAUACGUAGGUGGCAAGCGUUGUCCGGAAUUAUUGGGCGUAAAGCGCGCGCAGGCGGCUUCUUAAGUCUGAUGUGAAAGCCCGCAGCUCAACUGCGGAGGGUCAUUGGAAACUGGGAAGCUUGAGUGCAGAAGAGGAGAGUGGAAUUCCACGUGUAGCGGUGAAAUGCGUAGAGAUGUGGAGGAACACCAGUGGCGAAGGCGGCUCUCUGGUCUGUAACUGACGCUGAGGCGCGAAAGCGUGGGGAGCAAACAGGAUUAGAUACCCUGGUAGUCCACGCCGUAAACGAUGAGUGCUAAGUGUUAGAGGGUUUCCGCCCUUUAGUGCUGCAGCUAACGCAUUAAGCACUCCGCCUGGGGAGUACGGCCGCAAGGCUGAAACUCAAAUGAAUUGACGG
This 927-nucleotide ribosomal RNA is filed under the name uncultured bacterium. RNAcentral describes it as "bacterial SSU rRNA". It matches the Rfam family "Bacterial small subunit ribosomal RNA", at positions 8 to 916 of the family's 1533-position model. The record is from RNAcentral.